This 467-nucleotide ribosomal RNA is filed under the name uncultured bacterium. Its description in RNAcentral is "partial 16S ribosomal RNA". It matches the Rfam family "Bacterial small subunit ribosomal RNA", at positions 28 to 507 of the family's 1533-position model. The record is from RNAcentral.
GAUGAACGCUGGCGGCGUGCUUAACACAUGCAAGUCGAACGAUGAAGCCCAGCUUGCUGGGUGGAUUAGUGGCGAACGGGUGUGUAACACGUGAGCAACCUGCCCCUGACUCUGGGAUAAGCGCUGGAAACGGCGUCUAAUACUGGAUAUGUCCCGUCACCGCAUGGUGUGCGGGUGGAAAGAUUUUUCGGUUGGGGAUGGGCUCGCGGCCUAUCAGCUUGUUGGUGAGGUAAUGGCUCACCAAGGCGUCGACGGGUAGCCGGCCUGAGAGGGUGACCGGCCACACUGGGAUUGAGACACGGCCCAGACUCCUACGGGAGGCAGCAGUGGGGAAUAUUGCACAAUGGGCGGAAGCCUGAUGCAGCAACGCCGCGUGAGGGAUGACGGCCUUCGGGUUGUAAACCUCUUUUAGCAGGGAAGAAGCGAAAGUGACGGUACCUGCAGAAAAAGCACCGGCUAACUACGUG